AAGCUCUACUAAAAGAAAUUAUUCCUAUAUUUGGGUUUCCUAGGUCCAUUCCAAGUGACAAGGGAGGGGAUGUUAUAGCAAUAAUAACUCAAGCAUCUGGAACCUUAAACCUUCCUUGGACACUACAUGCUUCUUGGUGGAUCUGAGCUACUGGCAAAAUUGAAAAGAUGGAUCACACUCCUUAAAAGGCUAUAGCUCAAAUUUGUCAGGAAAUUAAUUUAACCUGGGUUAAAGCUCCCCCAGUUGCCCUGCUUGGAGUGAAGAUCGCCAGCCCUGAGGCAAGCUCCAGUUGAACCCCGAAGACAGUUGUAUGAGAGACCCUUCCUGUAUCCCAGAAAUGGUUUAAGAUCUGGAAGGAACACACAUUAAGGAACUUAAAUACCGUCAGGUAUGUAGAAUCAUUGGGAGCUACUCUAACUGCUCUAAGUUUGCUUCUAGCCCGUAAAUGUUUCCUACAGGUGUUUGCUUGGGCCACUUCUGUCCUGGAGACUAGGUCCUACUGAAAUCUUGGAACAAUAAACUUCUAGAAGAGGAGCUCCAUCCUUGCUGGACUGAACCUUAUGAGGUGCUCUGUGUGCCCCUUCCCUGGCGAAGCUGAAGGGAACUAAGCCAUGGACCCAUCACACUGAAAUUAAGCUGUUCCCACAGAGAUCAGUGAAGCCACCAUGCCCUGUGUACAGAACACAGAUGUGGUGACAAGCCAUCUUGGGCUCUGCAAAUGAGGGCAUGGGAGUUACACCCUAAAGAUGGCAGAGGAACAAGACAGAAGGAGCCUUGGUCCUUGGACAAUCUAAUACAACAAAGCGGCCGUACCAGCCAGGAUGUGCGUGUUCCCCGCUUCAAACACAGGUUCACCAUAUAGUCUUCAUGGUUUCCUCGGUUGAGAUGGAACUCUUUGGGG
Molecule: long non-coding RNA, 901 nt
Organism: Phacochoerus africanus (Common warthog)
Lineage: Eukaryota; Metazoa; Chordata; Mammalia; Artiodactyla; Suidae
Exons: 3
Source: RefSeq, a predicted model, not a curated record